This 449-nucleotide ribosomal RNA is filed under the name uncultured bacterium. RNAcentral describes it as "bacterial SSU rRNA". It matches the Rfam family "Bacterial small subunit ribosomal RNA", at positions 330 to 793 of the family's 1533-position model. The record is from RNAcentral.
UCCAGACUCCUACGGGAGGCAGCAGUGGGGAAUAUUGGGCAAUGGGCGCAAGCCUGACCCAGCAACGCCGCGUGAAGGAAGAAGGCUUUCGGGUUGUAAACUUCUUUUCUUGGGGACGAAGAAAGUGACGGUACCCAAGGAAUAAGCCACGGCUAACUACGUGCCAGCAGCCGCGGUAAUACGUAGGUGGCAAGCGUUAUCCGGAUUUAUUGGGUGUAAAGGGUGCGUAGACGGGAAAAUAAGUUAGUUGUGAAAUCCCUCGGCUCAACUGAGGAACUGCAACUAAAACUAUUUUUCUUGAGUGCAGGAGAGGAAAGUGGAAUUCCUAGUGUAGCGGUGAAAUGCGUAGAUAUUAGGAGGAACACCAGUGGCGAAGGCGACUUUCUGGACUGUAACUGACGUUGAGGCACGAAAGUGUGGGGAGCAAACAGGAUUAGAUACCCGCGUAU